GGUUGGAUCAUUAUAAAAUAAUGGUUCUCUAGGUUGAGUUUUAAAUCUUUUUUAAGGUUUAAAAUUCCUUGGAGAAUUCCAAUCAACCCUUUGUGCACUGUAAAUGUUUUUUCGAGUACUUUUUAAAAAGUGCUCGACAAUAUUUAAAACCCCAUUUUUUAAUUUUGUCUGAAUUUUUUAUGAAAAUAAAAAAAAUACAACUUUUGACAACGGAUCUCUUGGCUCUCGCAACGAUGAAGAACGCAGCGAAAUGCGAUACGUAAUGUGAAUUGCAGAAUUCCGUGAAUCAUCAAAUCUUUGAACGCACAUUGCACUCUAUUUCGGUAGAGUAUGCCUGUUUGAGAAUCUAAUGUAUUCUUUUUCCUAUAAAUAAUUUUAUUGUAUAUAGGAAAGAUUUGUGGAAUCUCUAAGCUUUUUUUUUUAGAGUUCUAUUAAUUACAUAGCUUGGUAAUUAAUCUUGGCUGAAAAGUAUUUGAAUGGAACUUUUUCGUUUCUCCCUAUACAGAAUAAGCUGUUUAAUAAAAUCCAAGUUCUCAAAACCUAUGAAAAAGUUUUUAUGAAUAACCAAACUUUGAUGUAAAAAAUCAAUUGUUUGAUGAAAAUAAAUCUUUUUGAACCAUGGUCUCAAAUCAGGCAGGAUUACCCGCUGAACUUAAGCAUAUCAAUAAGCGGAGGAAAAGAAACUAACAAGGAUUCCCCUAGUAACGGCGAGUGAAGCGGGAAAAGCUCAAAUUUGAAAUCUCACUGUUUUACAGUGCGAAUUGUAGUUUAGAGAAACGUUUUCGGGGUCAAUUAUUAGUACAAGUUCUUUGGAACGAGACAUCAUAGAGGGUGAAAAUCCCGUCUUUGACUAAUAAUUUGAUUCUAUGUGAUACGUUUUCCAAGAGUCGGUUUGUUUGGGAAUGCAGACCAAAAUGGGUGGUAAAUACCAUCUAAAGCUAAAUAUUGGCGAGAGACCGAUAGCGAACAAGUACCGUGAGGGAAAGAUGAAAAGAACUUUGAAAAGAGAGUUAAACAGUACGUGAAAUUGUCAAAAGGGAAACGCUUGAAACCAGUAUUGUUUAUAAUAAUUCAGCUAUUCUUUGAAUAGUGUAUUUUAUUAUGAACGAGUCAACAUCAGUUUUAUUUGAGGUAAAAAACUAUAGGAAGGUGAUCAAUUUUCGGAUUGGUUUUAUAGACUAUAAUUAUGCCUUGGAUAAGACUGAGGACUGCAGCAUUUUUUGGCCAUCUGGCACACCAAUGCUUAGGAUGUUGACGAAAUGGUUUUAAACGACCCGUCUUGAAACACGGACCAAGGAGUCUAACAUAUAUGCGAGUAUUUGGGUGGUAAACUCUUAUGCGUAGUGAAAGCGAAAAGGUGGGAAUCUUUAUUGAUGCACCAUCGGCCGCGCCAGAUUAUUACUAUCUCGGCGUGAGUAUGAGCAUAUCUGUUGGGACCCGAAAGAUGGUGAACUAUGCCUGAAUAGGGUGAAGCCAGAGGAAACUCUGGUGGAGGCUCGUAGCGGUUCUGACGUGCAAAUCGAUCGUCGAAUUUGGGUAUAGGGGCGAAAGACUAAUCGAACCAUCUAGUAGCUGGUUCCCUC
Molecule: unclassified non-coding RNA, 1583 nt
Filed under: uncultured fungus
Lineage: Eukaryota; Fungi
Description: sequence contains 18S rRNA gene, ITS1, 5.8S rRNA gene, ITS2, 28S rRNA gene
Rfam family: Eukaryotic large subunit ribosomal RNA (bases 620-1583)
Source: RNAcentral